GAUGAACGCUGGCGGCGUGCCUAAUACAUGCAAGUCGAGCGAACGGACGAGAAGCUUGCUUCUCUGAUGUUAGCGGCGGACGGGUGAGUAACACGUGGAUAACCUACCUAUAAGACUGGGAUAACUUCGGGAAACCGGAGCUAAUACCGGAUAAUAUUUUGAACCGCAUGGUUCAAAAGUAAAAGACGGUCUUGCUGUCACUUAUAGAUGGAUCCGCGCUGCAUUAGCUAGUUGGUAAGGUAACGGCUUACCAAGGCAACGAUGCAUAGCCGACCUGAGAGGGUGAUCGGCCACACUGGAACUGAGACACGGUCCAGACUCCUACGGGAGGCAGCAGUAGGGAAUCUUCCGCAAUGGGCGAAAGCCUGACGGAGCAACGCCGCGUGAGUGAUGAAGGUCUUCGGAUCGUAAAACUCUGUUAUUAGGGAAGAACAUAUGUGUAAGUAACUGUGCACAUCUUGACGGUACCUAAUCAGAAAGCCACGGCUAACUCCGUG
Molecule: ribosomal RNA, 497 nt
Filed under: uncultured bacterium
Lineage: Bacteria
Description: partial 16S ribosomal RNA
Rfam family: Bacterial small subunit ribosomal RNA
Source: RNAcentral